GUGGAGUUCGUCGCUCAUGAAAACAGAUAUCUUUUUUUCUUAUCGAAUCUCAACAAAAUUUCAUUCGACAAACAAAGCACAAUAUAAAUCCAUUCGAUCACAAUUUUAAAUAUCAUAAAAUUCAUUUCAAAUCAAUAAAAUUUAAAAUUCAAAAUUCAAAAAAUUAUAUCGAUACAUAAUUUCAAUUGAUAACGUAUAAUAUCUUUGAUAGUGACAAUUUCGCACAAUUUUUAUAAUCAUAAAAAGAAUUGAGUAAUAAUAAAACGUAUUUUUGCGAAUAAAUUUAAAGAAAUCAAAAUCUUUGACAAAAGUUUUGAUUAAGAAUACAGGUAAGUUUUGCGUGUCAGGUAUGUAGAAAGGACUACCAAUAGCGACCCCGUCGUGUCUUUCGCCCAAUUGAGAGGUAAGGUUAGUUCUCCCACUCGCAACGGAAAAUAUACUACAAAAGAUAUAUAUCGUUGCCCCGAGUUACCAGCCGGUCGAGUCACGUCGUCGUUUUGACACUGACGAAUUCUUCACGAAACGUUUACAGAGACACAACCACCGGGAAUCAAAUGAUCACACCAUGGCGCGUAGAACCAGCCUACAGGCCAUCUUGAAGCCACCGACAAAGCACACACACAAUAAGCCCCGUCGUAUCAGGCACAUACGGUGUAAGAUCCUCCUAGAAGGACGGAAGACGAUCAAGUGAAUGCUCCGUAAAGUGGCGGCCAUGAUGGCGCCACUUGUCGAACCUUUCAAACUUGAACGAAAUUCGCCUUACAAUACGAUAGUUGAUUUAUUUCGUUGAAUCCGACAUCCUCUAUAAUAUACAACUUUUUUCUUACACGGUUAUACGAAUUAAAAAUUAGAUUUUACAACAAUAUUAUAUUUUGUUUCAAAAAAAUAUUCGAGUGGAAUCAAAUUGAUACUUUGUCGCGCGGUUGUCACGAUGGCGCCACCGACUCAUCACGUGUACGAUGAUUUAGAUAAUAAUUAUCUGCUUUUGUUAACGUAUAAUUGGUUUUUAAAAAUUAAUUUAAAAAGAAAUUAUUAAUUAUUUUAUAAUUGAUAUUGCGAUUCAAUAUGUCACAUAUGGUGUUAAUAAUUUUUCUAAGAUCAAUCAAUAUAUUUUUUUUAAUAAUUAUGACGGUAAUAACGAUACGAUAGUUCAACGAUUAUAAGAAUUGAUCGAUUUUCAUUAAACGACUCACAUGUUUCUGAUAUCUUUCCAUGUAAUUAAAUUGAAAAUUAUUAUUAAUUUAAUUAGAAACUUGUGUCUCGUUUUAAAAUAGAUUAAAGUGUAAAAUAUUUGAAAAGUAUAUAUACCGUGCGAUAUUAAACUAUUAUUAUAUUAAAAAUGUAUUAUCGUUCAUUUAAUAAUAAUUAUAUUAUCAGUA
Long non-coding RNA from Apis mellifera (honey bee), 1379 nucleotides. RefSeq lists it as uncharacterized. NCBI's taxonomy places the organism in Eukaryota, Metazoa, Arthropoda, Insecta, Hymenoptera, Apidae. The record is from RefSeq and is a predicted model, not a curated record. The transcript has 2 exons.